AAAAAACAAAAUAUUUUUCUAAAUUUUUAUUUUUUCAAAUAUUUUUUUAAUGUGAUGUAAACAUAUUUCAUGACUUUUUUUUUUUUUGAAACACAAACAUAUUUCAUGACUGUUGCUUUCUUUCAUGACUGUUGCUUUCUUUUUCUAUUCUAAAAACUGAGUAUUAACAAAAAUAUGGACCUUAUAAAGCAAGAUAAAUUUUUUUUUUCAAAAAUAUGAUGUAAGCACAUUUUCAUGAGUUUUCUUUUUAUUUUGUG
This 257-nucleotide long non-coding RNA is filed under the name Brassica rapa (field mustard). Its description in RNAcentral is "long non-coding RNA (BRAP_LNC006664)". The record is from RNAcentral. Lineage: Eukaryota; Viridiplantae; Streptophyta; Magnoliopsida; Brassicales; Brassicaceae.